Molecule: long non-coding RNA, 861 nt
Organism: Lolium perenne
Lineage: Eukaryota; Viridiplantae; Streptophyta; Magnoliopsida; Poales; Poaceae
Source: RefSeq, a predicted model, not a curated record
AGAGCCACAAGUGUCGUAUUCCUGUGCCUCCGUCGCCUCCCUCACGUGGCCGCCGCGCCGCCGCGCCGCCGCUGCGUUCCGCAUGACUGCGCAGCCCGCUCGUCUCCCCCUCACGCCUCGGAGCUGUUUGGUGGCGGUGUAGCAAUACGUUAGCGGCGUCGACGUUGGAGGAGACAGGUGGGCCUGCCCGUCGAUGGCCGCAUAGGUAGACGGGCGGCAGCGUAAUGCCCAUCACGCCGGUGGGGGCUUUGCUAUUCUUCGCUUCAAGCCCUUGUCGGAGCCCUCGGCGAGGCGAGCGGCCCCAGGGAUGGUGGCGACGCAGCAGGCACAGCUGUGGCGCCGUCAUCGAGCUCGCGCAUCGGGGCACAAGUACGAGACCGUCGUCGUCAGAUGGUUGCAGCGGCGGCGGCCUCCAUCGAGAAGUCAUCAUUCGUCACCCAGCCAACUUUGUCUACAUUUAAAACCAUGUGUCAUUGAUCAUCAAGCACUUGCCUGCCUCUGGACAAUCUCAAACAACACAGCUGGUAACGGGGACUAGACUCACGUUGUGAUCAAGGCAAACAUAAUCGGACAACUGGUGCAUCUUCUGCAAGGUGCUUAAUAAAUUGCUAUAAAGGGCAAGCCAUUAUCACUGUGUUAUUUCUUCAGAGAAAGACGAAGCAAAUUACUCCACAGGAAACCUGCACAAUGUAUUCACUGUAGUUCUCAACAGUAAGGGAUAUCCCGUGGAGACAUUCUGUAUUGCUAAAGAAAUCCACGAACUGUUUUGUACGCUAAGUUUCAUUCUUGUUUCAGUAUUAGUAUGGAACAAUUAUGUGUUGUGAAGCAUCAGGUAAAGAAGUCACAAUCUCGUGUUGAUCA